UACUCCGGGGAUAACAGGCUGAUACCGCCCAAGAGUUCAUAUCGACGGCGGUGUUUGGCACCUCGAUGUCGGCUCAUCACAUCCUGGGGCUGAAGUAGGUCCCAAGGGUAUGGCUGUUCGCCAUUUAAAGUGGUACGCGAGCUGGGUUUAGAACGUCGUGAGACAGUUCGGUCCCUAUCUGCCGUGGGCGCUGGAGAACUGAGGGGGGCUGCUCCUAGUACGAGAGGACCGGAGUGGACGCAUCACUGGUGUUCGGGUUGUCAUGCCAAUGGCACUGCCCGGUAGCUAAAUGCGGAAGAGAUAAGUGCUGAAAGCAUCUAAGCACGAAACUUGCCCCGAGAUGAGUUCUCCCUGACUCCUUGAGAGUCCUGAAGGAACGUUGAAGACGACGACGUUGAUAGGCCGGGUGUGUAAGCGCAGCGAUGCGUUGAGCUAACCGGUACUAAUGAACCGUGAGGCUUAACCUUACAA
Molecule: ribosomal RNA, 471 nt
Filed under: Escherichia coli
Lineage: Bacteria; Pseudomonadati; Pseudomonadota; Gammaproteobacteria; Enterobacterales; Enterobacteriaceae
Description: partial 23S ribosomal RNA
Rfam family: Bacterial large subunit ribosomal RNA
Source: RNAcentral